UGAUGACACUUUCUCCGGAAUCUCUGUACCAUUUUGAUGAUAAUGCUGAACCCUUUUUCUGAUGACUGCAGUUAAAUUUUC
This is a small nucleolar RNA of Paramormyrops kingsleyae, 81 nucleotides long. Ensembl annotates it as small nucleolar RNA MBII-202. Its record names the gene SNORD68. The record is from Ensembl. NCBI's taxonomy places the organism in Eukaryota, Metazoa, Chordata, Actinopteri, Osteoglossiformes, Mormyridae.